ACUUAAAUAGUUUAAUUAAAAUAUCAGUUUGUGGUUCUGAUGAUGUUUUAUAACUUUAGGUA
RNAcentral lists this transfer RNA (62 nucleotides) under Anthrenus verbasci (variegated carpet beetle). Its description in RNAcentral is "tRNA-His". Lineage: Eukaryota; Metazoa; Arthropoda; Insecta; Coleoptera; Dermestidae. The record is from RNAcentral. RNAcentral also lists the same sequence under 1 other name.